CAGAGUGAAUAUCAGAAUAUGUGAUUUGGGUUGCGAACCAGAAUGGAUCCGCGACGAACAAGUAACCACGUAUAUACUUUUUUUUUCUUUUUUUAACGGUAAGUAGUAAGUAUAUACGGAAAGGCAAAAAAUGGCGGAAAUUAUGCGGUUGUACCCGGGGUGGGUAAACGGUUUAAAACCGAUCAACCCUGUUUUGUCAUACCCGUCGAUUUGAUCGAAUUAAGUUCUGGUUGGGGCUGGUUAGGUAACUGAAUUCAAUUUUAUUUAUCGAAUCAAGUUCCUUGACUUCUUCUUCAUCUAUUUUGAGC
This 308-nucleotide long non-coding RNA is filed under the name Linum usitatissimum (flax). RNAcentral's name for it is "long non-coding RNA (LUSI_LNC002284)". Lineage: Eukaryota; Viridiplantae; Streptophyta; Magnoliopsida; Malpighiales; Linaceae. The record is from RNAcentral.